CAGACUUUGUCAUACAGUUCCUCUGGAAGUGGUGAACCUCGGUGGGUAGUCAAGUGUGUACAGUGUGGCCACUCGUGAGAUGAACGCAGUGUUGGAUAACUUGUGGUUUUUAGGUGGGAAAGGAUAUGAUCCAGCAAGUGGGGACUUCUCUGACUUUCAGGCAUGGCUGCAGUGCUACUAUGUGGACGGGAUGAAAACACUCCGGGAUCAUAAUGGGAGAACGAUAUGGUUCAGAGGGGAUCCAGGGCCCAUGGCACCAAAAGAUUCAAAGUCACCCAAGGCAAAAAAAGUGGGCAAAGAAAGACGAUGACCAUGAUUACAUAAACAAGAAAAAGGGGGCCAGAGCAAGGAAAACAAGGAUCAAACAGGAAGGUGA
Long non-coding RNA from Oreochromis niloticus (Nile tilapia), 376 nucleotides. RefSeq lists it as uncharacterized. The record is from RefSeq and is a predicted model, not a curated record. Lineage: Eukaryota; Metazoa; Chordata; Actinopteri; Cichliformes; Cichlidae. The transcript is spliced from 4 exons.